This 22-nucleotide small nuclear RNA is filed under the name Arabidopsis thaliana (thale cress). Its description in RNAcentral is "snRNA_05031". Lineage: Eukaryota; Viridiplantae; Streptophyta; Magnoliopsida; Brassicales; Brassicaceae. The record is from RNAcentral.
CGAAGAUUUAUAUCUUAAGAAA